This 1506-nucleotide ribosomal RNA is filed under the name uncultured organism. Its description in RNAcentral is "bacterial SSU rRNA". It matches the Rfam family "Bacterial small subunit ribosomal RNA". The record is from RNAcentral.
AGAGUUUGAUCAUGGCUCAGAACGAACGCUGGCGGCGCGUUUUAAGCAUGCAAGUCGAGCGGUAAAGUACCUUCGGGUGCUUGAGAGCGGCGAACGGGUGAGUAACACGUAGGUGAUCUACCGCAGGGGUUGGGGAUAGCCCAUGGAAACAUGGGGUAAUACCGAAUACGACUCUCUGCCUGUGGGCGGAGAGGGAAAGGCGCUUCGGCGCCGCCCUGCGAUGAGCCUGCGGCUCAUUAGUUAGUUGGUGGGGUAACGGCCCACCAAGGCGACGAUGAGUAGCCGGCCUGAGAGGGUGAUCGGCCACACUGGGACUGAGAUACGGCCCAGACUCCUACGGGAGGCAGCAGCUAAGAAUCUUCCGCAAUGGGCGAAAGCCUGACGGAGCGACGCCGCGUGGGUGAAGAAGGCCGAGAGGUUGUAAAGCCCUUUUCUGCAUGAGGAAUAAGCGUGGGAGGGAAUGCCCGCGUGAUGACGGUAGUGCAGGAAUAAGCCCCGGCCAAUUACGUGCCAGCAGCCGCGGUAACACGUAUGGGGCGAGCGUUGUUCGGAAUCAUUGGGCGUAAAGGGCGCGCAGGCGGCUGCGCAAGCCUGGUGUGAAAGACCGCAGCUUAACUGCGGAUACGCGCUGGGAACUGUGUGGCUUGAGUUCCGGAGGGGAAGCUGGAAUUCCUGGUGUAGGGGUGAAAUCUGUAGAUAUCAGGAAGAACAUCAGCGGCGAAGGCGAGCUUCUGGCCGUGAACUGACGCUGAGGCGCGAAAGCGUGGGGAGCGAACAGGAUUAGAUACCCUGGUAGUCCACGCCGUAAACGUUGUGCACUAGGUGUUAGACCGCUUGAAGGUUUAGUGCCGUAGCUAACGCGUUAAGUGCACCGCCUGGGGAGUAUGCCCGCAAGGGUGAAACUCAAAGGAAUUGACGGGGGCCCGCACAAGCGGUGGAGCAUGUGGUUUAAUUCGAUGAUACGCGAGAAACCUUACCAGGGCUUGACAUCGACAGGAAGUCGCAGGAGACUGCGGCGCCCUUCGGGGCCUGUUGACAGGUGCUGCAUGGCUGUCGUCAGCUCGUGCCGUGAGGUGUUGGGUUAAGUCCCGCAACGAGCGCAACCCCUGUCGUCUGUUGCCAGCAUUUCGGAUGGGGACUCAGGCGAAACUGCCGGUGACAAACUGGAGGAAGGUGGGGACGACGUCAAGUCAUCAUGGCCCUUAUGUCCUGGGCUACACACGUGCUACAAUGGCCGGCACAGAGUGAAGCAAAACCGCGAGGUGGAGCAAAUCACAGAAAGCCGGUCUCAGUUCGGAUUGGAGUCUGAAACCCGACUCCAUGAAGCUGGAAUCGCUAGUAAUCGCACAUCAGCAUGGUGCGGUGAAUACGUUCCCGGGCCUUGUACACACCGCCCGUCACACCACCCGAGUUGGGGGUGCCCGAAGCCGCUAGCCCAACCGCAACAGCGGAGGGCGGCGUCGAAGGUACGCCUGGCAAGGGGGGUGAAGUCGUAACAAGGUAGCC